UCUCUCCCAUUAACCUAUAUAUUCACUCUCUCCUCAGUCGCCUUUCUCUCAUCUCGUUACAAUCAAUCAAAAGCCAAAGAAGAGUUUUCUCAUCUCUCAUUUCUGGUACCGAUUCUGCCACAAACAUCUCUGUUGAGCCUUUCACUGGACCUUCAAAGAAGGGUUGGCGAGGCACCUAUCAGUAGAGAAUCAACUUUGCAAGGAAACAAUUCCGGACAUCCUAGUACUCUUUGGCAGCCCAAUUGAUUGCAGGUCAAAGAACCUCUGAGAUGGGCUGGAAUUAGCCUCAGAAGGAUAUGGAUAAGCAGUGAGAAACUAAUUUGGUUAGCCCACCAUAUCCCAAUUAUGAAUUAUAAUGGCAAGCCAGUGAAAAUCCCUUUAUUAAGAGGCAGCCAUCUGCAGUUCUGGAUAGGGAAAAAGAACCCAAGAAGCUUUCUCAGCCCUCGCCAGAGAAUAUAGUUCUUUACUCUAAGGAUCCUCAGUUUGAAAUUCAAGGUCCUUUCUCUGGUAGUAAUAUUAUUGGAUGGUUUGAGGCUGGAUGUUUUGGGAUAGAUUUGCAAGUCCAGCUUGCAAGUACAUCAAAAGACUCGCCCUUUUCAUUACCAUCCAGGUUUGCUGCACCAGAACAAAAUGAAUUCAUAGAUGCAUCGAGUCUAACCUUAGUAGCUGUGAAAGUGUUCAUUCUGGAGAUGCCAUAAGAUUGAUGGACUUUGCUUGUAAAAAAUAUUGGUUAACCUUAUAUAUUUUCAAUCUGUUGCAGAAGCCAUAGACUUCAGGCUUACGUGUGAACAUAAGUGUGCUAGACUUGUUGGGGCAAAAGUUAUCAAUUUGCAAUUUUAUGGUCUGCCAUAA
This is a long non-coding RNA of Hevea brasiliensis (rubber tree), 852 nucleotides long. RefSeq lists it as uncharacterized. The record is from RefSeq and is a predicted model, not a curated record. Lineage: Eukaryota; Viridiplantae; Streptophyta; Magnoliopsida; Malpighiales; Euphorbiaceae. The transcript is spliced from 2 exons.